Molecule: ribosomal RNA, 497 nt
Filed under: uncultured bacterium
Lineage: Bacteria
Description: partial 16S ribosomal RNA
Rfam family: Bacterial small subunit ribosomal RNA
Source: RNAcentral
GAUGAACGCUGGCGGCGUGCCUAAUACAUGCAAGUCGAGCGAACAGACUAGGAGCUUGCUCCUUUGACGUUAGCGGCGGACGGGUGAGUAACACGUGGGUAACCUACCUAUAAGACUGGGAUAACUUCGGGAAACCGGAGCUAAUACCGGAUAAUAUUUCGAACCGCAUGGUUCGAUAGUGAAAGAUGGCUUUGCUAUCACUUAUAGAUGGACCUGCGCCGUAUUAGCUAGUUGGUAAGGUAACGGCUUACCAAGGCAACGAUACGUAGCCGACCUGAGAGGGUGAUCGGCCACACUGGAACUGAGACACGGUCCAGACUCCUACGGGAGGCAGCAGUAGGGAAUCUUCCGCAAUGGGCGAAAGCCUGACGGAGCAACGCCGCGUGAGUGAUGAAGGUCUUCGGAUCGUAAAACUCUGUUAUUAGGGAAGAAUAAACGUGUAAGUAACUGUGCACGUCUUGACGGUACCUAAUCAGAAAGCCACGGCUAACUACGUG